RNAcentral lists this ribosomal RNA (267 nucleotides) under uncultured archaeon. RNAcentral describes it as "partial 16S ribosomal RNA". It matches the Rfam family "Archaeal small subunit ribosomal RNA", at positions 716 to 982 of the family's 1478-position model. The record is from RNAcentral.
ACAGUCACUGACAUUAGAUACCCCUGUAGUCCAGGGUGUAAACGCUGCAGACUUGGUGUUGGAAGUCCUUUGGGGGCAUUCAGUGCCGGAGAGAAGUUGUUAAGUCUGCUACUUGGGGAGUACGUCCGCAAGGAUGAAACUUAAAGGAAUUGGCGGGGGAGCACCGCAACGGGAGGAGCGUGCGGUUUAAUUGGAUUCAACACCGUAAAACUCACCAGGGAAGACUGUUACAUGAAAGCCGAGAUGAAGACUCUGCUAGAUUUUCAG